UUACCACCAUGAUUUGAACCAAUGCACCCUGUGUAUGGAGAGGAAAUGUUUAUCAAGAAUGGUGUUUUUGACGACCUUCAUGCUUUGCCAGGCGAAACGGCUGUUUGUUCACUUGCCCUUCAUUAGACUGCAGCCAUGCUGGGAAACCAGUGUCCUAUUCAGUCAGAAAUACUAUGAAAAAAGAUUGAACGUUUAACUAAAUAUACUGUCUCAUAAUCAACUUAGUCCACCCAAAAUAGCCCCAGCCACCAUUGCCCAAUCAAACAACAGUUUUAAAUCCAGCAACAACAGGCACACGUCUUCAACUUUGAAGAAAAUAUAUAAUUGCAAAGGACAGAGUAUAAAAAAGAAAGAAAAACAAUCACUCACCUUUGAAAUUUAUCUUGUCUGCAUUGUUAGCUAAUGCAUGUACAAGAGCGAUGGUACCACAGGCAUUACCGAUUGUUU
Long non-coding RNA from Octopus sinensis (East Asian common octopus), 447 nucleotides. RefSeq lists it as uncharacterized. NCBI's taxonomy places the organism in Eukaryota, Metazoa, Mollusca, Cephalopoda, Octopoda, Octopodidae. The transcript has 4 exons. The record is from RefSeq and is a predicted model, not a curated record.